AUUCACGGCCACAGGAUUAAGAAAACACCGCAUCCCGUCCGAUCUGCGAAGUCAAGAUGAAUACCGCCCAGUCAGUACCAUGGUGGGGGACCACAUGGGAAUGCUGGGUGCUGUGGUU
RNAcentral lists this ribosomal RNA (118 nucleotides) under Tremella mesenterica. Lineage: Eukaryota; Fungi; Basidiomycota; Tremellomycetes; Tremellales; Tremellaceae. The record is from RNAcentral.